AUGUGGACUUCAGCUGCUCUGCUGCUGCUCGCUGUGGCUUCCUAUGUGUCCUGUGCUACUGAGCUCAUCCAGCCAGAUUCAGUGGUUGUAAAGUCUGGUGAGACUUUAACCAUCAACUGUAGAGUUUCAGGAGCUUCAAUUACUGACAGCAGCAGCCAUUAUGCAACAGCUUGGAUUCGACAACCUGCAGGAAAAGCUCUGGAAUGGAUCAACACAAUUUAUUAUGAUGGAUCUAUUAAUGAAAAAGAUUCACUUAAAAACAAGUUUGUUGUUUCUCGAGACACGUCCAGUAACACGGUGACCCUACAGGGACAGAAGAUGCAGAAUGAAGAUACAGCUGUGUAUUACUGCGCUCGUGUAGCACCACACUGGACACAGCUGUGUAUUACUGUGUCCGUUAUUCACCUCAUCACAAACUGUAGAGGAACUGGUACAAAAACAUUCCUGAUCUAUCAGAAACAAGCUGAGAAAUACUAA
This is a non-coding RNA of Trichomycterus rosablanca, 477 nucleotides long. Lineage: Eukaryota; Metazoa; Chordata; Actinopteri; Siluriformes; Trichomycteridae. The record is from the annotation of a RefSeq genome assembly.